This 500-nucleotide ribosomal RNA is filed under the name uncultured Glomeromycotina. Its description in RNAcentral is "partial small subunit ribosomal RNA". It matches the Rfam family "Eukaryotic small subunit ribosomal RNA", at positions 591 to 1092 of the family's 1831-position model. The record is from RNAcentral. Lineage: Eukaryota; Fungi; Glomeromycota.
CCAAUAGCGUAUAUUAAAGUUGUUGCAGUUAAAAAGCUCGUAGUUGAAUUUCGGGGUUAGUAGGUCGGUCAUGCCUCUGGUAUGCACUGGUCUAACUGAUUCCUCCUUCCUGAUGAGCCGUAAUGCCAUUAAUUUGGUGUUGCGGGGAAUCUGGACUGUUACUUUGAAAAAAUUAGAGUGUUUAAAGCAGGCUAACGCUUGAAUACAUUAGCAUGGAAUAAUGGAAUAGGACGUUCGAUCCUAUUUUGUUGGUUUCUAGGAUUGACGUAAUGAUUAAUAGGGAUAGUUGGGGGCAUUAGUAUUCAAUUGUCAGAGGUGAAAUGCUUGGAUUUAGUGAAGACUAACUACUGCGAAAGCAUUUGCCAAGGAUGUUUUCAUUAAUCAAGAACGAAAGUUAGGGGAUCGAAGACGAUCAGAUACCGUCGUAGUCUUAACCAUAAACUAUGCCGACUAGGGAUCGGAUGAUGUUAAUUUUUUAAUGACUCAUUCGGCGCCUUACG